ACAAAGUAGUUUGCAGUCACCCAAGGCCUUUCCCCAGGACAAAGUAAACUCUUUUGUUCUCUAUCAACAUAAAAGAAAGGGGAUUUAACCAUCUUGACAUAAUAAUGAAAAAUGCACUGGUCUAUUAUAAUGAUGGAAUUUGGUUAAUUUGGCUUGAGAGUAAGAAGUAAAUACUUUGGAUGUCCUCUCCUGAUACGAUGUAUGUAAACAAGACAGUGAGAGAUCAUCUGUACAGAUUUUCAUAGAUCUGCCACAUCAAAAGUUUUAAGGGAUCAAUUUUUCUUGCAUAUGCUUGGGCAUGUCUGUCCUCCAGUUUGAAUUAAAAGUUAAUACACGCUGUACUUCUUAUCAAAACAAAGGAGCAUAGAACUUGAUAGGCUGCUUUAGAAUGUGGAAACAGCAAAUGUCACAUUUAAAGUACUGCCUGGAUUUUGGAAGGCUGGCAGUUUUAAGUGGAACCUAUAGAAAGAGAGGAUAAUGCUCUAGGUUUAGCCUGAAGUUCAGUUAGCUCUAACUUGUGGGUCAUGUGACCUGGUCGAAGCCGUAUAGUGUUAUCUGUGUCAUAAGGAUGAUGCAUGGAGUCUCUGACAAUCCUCAAUAAAGAAAUCAUAGCAUAAAACCCUAGGUUAUGCUAUCUUCAAAAGAAAACUUUUUAUAAUUUAAAAAGCAGCUUCCAGAAUACUGCUGAUACCUCAUGGAGAUUGAAUGCCUGACUGUAGGAUGUCCUGUGAUGAUUAAUAUUUUGUCAACUUGACAAUACAGUAGUGCCCAGAUAUCUCAUCAAACAUUAUUCUGAUGCUUCUAUGAAGAUGUUUUCUGAAUGAGAUUAACACUUAAAUUGGUGGACUUUGAGUAAAGUUGAUCAUCCUCUAUAAUGAGGGUGAGCCCCAUCUGAUCAGUUGAAAGUCUUAAUAGAACAGGCUGACCUCCCCUGAGAAAGAGAAGAUGCUGCCAGAAGAUUAUUUUCAGACUUUGAACUGCAACUCUUCCCACGAUCUCCAGUCUGCCAGCCUACCUUGAAAAUUUUGGAUUUACCAAGCCUCCACAAUCGUGUUACUAGUUUCUGAAAUAAUAAUCUCUCUCUCUCUUUCUCUCUUUCUCCUUUCUCCCUCUCUCUCUGUUCUGUUGCUCUGGAGAACUCUGAUCAAUA
This 1150-nucleotide long non-coding RNA is filed under the name Pan troglodytes (chimpanzee). Its description in RNAcentral is "long non-coding RNA NONPTRT013194". The record is from RNAcentral. Lineage: Eukaryota; Metazoa; Chordata; Mammalia; Primates; Hominidae.